Molecule: ribosomal RNA, 253 nt
Filed under: uncultured bacterium
Lineage: Bacteria
Description: partial 16S ribosomal RNA
Rfam family: Bacterial small subunit ribosomal RNA
Source: RNAcentral
UACGAAGGGGGCUAGCGUUGUUCGGAAUUACUGGGCGUAAAGGGCGCGUAGGCGGUGUGUCAAGUCAGGCGUGAAAGCCCCGGGCUCAACCUGGGAACAGCGCUUGAGACUGGCACGCUCGAGUUCGGGAGAGGAUGGUGGAAUUCCCAGUGUAGAGGUGGAACUCGUAGAUAUUGGGAAGAACACCGAUGGCGAAGGCAGCCAUCUGGACCGACACUGACGCUGAGGCGCGAAAGCGUGGGGAGCAAACAGG